Molecule: ribosomal RNA, 497 nt
Filed under: uncultured bacterium
Lineage: Bacteria
Description: partial 16S ribosomal RNA
Rfam family: Bacterial small subunit ribosomal RNA
Source: RNAcentral
GAUGAACGCUGGCGGCGUGCCUAAUACAUGCAAGUCGAGCGAACAGACGAGGAGCUUGCUCCUCUGACGUUAGCGGCGGACGGGUGAGUAACACGUGGAUAACCUACCUAUAAGACUGGGAUAACUUCGGGAAACCGGAGCUAAUACCGGAUAAUAUAUUGAACCGCAUGGUUCAAUAGUGAAAGACGGUUUUGCUGUCACUUAUAGAUGGAUCCGCGCCGCAUUAGCUAGUUGGUAAGGUAACGGCUUACCAAGGCAACGAUGCGUAGCCGACCUGAGAGGGUGAUCGGCCACACGGGAACUGAGACACGGUCCAGACUCCUACGGGAGGCAGCAGUAGGGAAUCUUCCGCGAUGGGCGAAAGCCUGACGGAGCAACGCCGCGUGAGUGAUGAAGGUCUUCGGAUCGUAAAACUCUGUUAUUAGGGAAGAACAAAUGUGUAAGUAACUAUGCACGUCUUGACGGUACCUAAUCAGAAAGCCACGGCUAACUACGUG